AAUCAACGCUGGCGGCGUGCCUCAGACAUGCAAGUCGAACGCGAAAGUCCCCUUCGGGGGACAAGUAGAGUGGCGCACGGGUGAGUAACACGUAGGUAAUCUACCUUUGGAUGGGGAAUAACAACCGGAAACGGUUGCUAAUACCGCAUAAUGCAGCGGCACCUAAUGGUGACAGUUGUUAAAGCGGGGGAUCGAAAGACCUCGCGUCUAAAGAGGAGCCUGCGGCGGAUUAGCUAGUUGGAAGGUAAUGGCUUACCAAGGCUACGAUCCGUAACCGGCCUGAGAGGGCGGUCGGUCACACUGACACUGACAUACGGGUCAGACUCCUACGGGAGGCAGCAGUCGGGAAUUUUGGGCAAUGGGCGAAAGCCUGACCCAGCAACGCCGCGUGAAGGAUGAAAUCCCUCGGGAUGUAAACUUCGCAAGAACGGGAAGAAUAAGUAGGGACAACUACCCCCUAUGAUGACGGUACCGUUUGUAAGCU
This 484-nucleotide ribosomal RNA is filed under the name uncultured bacterium. RNAcentral describes it as "bacterial SSU rRNA". It matches the Rfam family "Bacterial small subunit ribosomal RNA", at positions 32 to 492 of the family's 1533-position model. The record is from RNAcentral.